ACAUGAUGCCACAGCAUCAGCAACCGUGAGGAAGAUUUUGUCCUCUCCAAUCAACUGUGCAGAACCAGAGGCAUGGAGCUUAUCAAUCACCGCCGGUCCAGGAUUUGCUAGGAUAAGCUGUGCAACAACACAAGGAACAUCCGGUAAGGCUACUUUUCUAACACCGAAGCACAUAUUAUUAUCGUACUACAUGUGUUUGUGUGUUAGCACUAGAGGCGUGUAUGAUACUGCAAUGUAGCUGUAGUUAAUUUACAAGCUUAGAUUUCAGAACAUAUCAGGUGGCAGUACUGUUAACGUGCAAGAGUUAAUCACCUGAAUCUCUCUUUUCUGGAGACUUCUGAGUAACUCUUCCAUCGCAUGGAUGCCACUGGUGUCAAUGUCAGUAACGGCUGACACCAAAUCCAAAAGCAUCAUAAAUGAGUUUUGAAAUUAAAUAAUAGCAAGUCAGCUCGUAGAUAGCAAUGAAGAUUCAGCAGAGAACAGCUUACGUGACAACUCCACAAUUAAAAACUGGAUUUUGGUCUGGCCUGAUUUGUUUACUAGCUCUUCCUCGUCAAUCAACCAUCUCAAUAUCCUGCAAGAAAAUCUCAUCUUUAGCCUCAGUAAAGCUGCUGCUGGAAAUCUCAACUUCUUGCGAAACUCUAAAUAAUAAAAUCAUAUAUAGCUAUGUCUUAAGCUCCUUUUACUUAUGAACGCUGCAACCAUAGCGUUUCAAACACACGAAUUCCACAAGUAUAAGCUUCAAAUGCCUCCCCCAAGCCAACAAAACAACCUGACCAGAUUAUAAAUUACUGAAUUUAUCUAUCAUAGUCACUCGUACAAAUUGUUUGACUUUCUAAUUGCCUAUCAUCUACAGUUCAACUCUAUUCAGGUAGCUUCCUAAUCAAAACAAGUCUUCCAAAUACUAGGGUUGUGUUCUUCCAUUAUAGCUAUAGCCAAAACCUCAAAGUAAAAGGUCCUUAGUUAGAAGCGUGGGACAGGAAAAAAUAACUGCCUGCGGUUCCAUUUCAAUUCAUAGAUGGUCUUUCUCUACCGAAUAGCUAAAAGGCCAAAAAAACAUCUUUACCUUUCUUUGAUGUAAUUGGAGUUAGAAAAGUAGAUCGCAGAAUCGACUCUCACUAUCAAAACACCAGGGACCUUAGCUGCUUCAGGAUAUUGUAGAAUGUUUCUGUAUACGGUUGUCCUUGGUAGAUUUCCAAGAAUUGCGGUCCGGGGCCUGGUAACUUGUAAGAGAAUCUUGGCAAAGGAUAUCGAAACCUUCCAUGACACAAUGAAAACAUAAUUUAAUCAAUCCUGGCAAUCAUAUAUAGUAAUACAGGGAUUUUAGCUGGCGGGUAUCAUAAUUCUUACUGCAAUCAAGAGGCCAAUCUCAACAGAAACAAAAACUACACCAAAGAAUGCUCCCAUGCAAGCAACAAAAUCAAAUUUGUCAAUCUUCCAUAUCAAAUAUGCUGCAUCAAAAUCAAUCAGGCCGAUCACCGCUGAUAUAAUUAUGGCUGCGAGUAUAGCAUUUGGGGUAUACUUGAAAAGAGGUGUCAAAAAUUUUAACGUCAAAAAUACGACAAACGCCAUAACAAUGUUUGAGACUGCAGUUUGGCAGCCAGCCAUGUAGUUCACAGCUGAUCGAGAAAAUGAACCUGCAAGUAAUGAACAUGAGAAAAAAAUAUAGUGAAUUCAAAGGAUUUGCACAAUCAAAUGAACCUCCUCAUAUUAGCCCGAAGGAGUUUCCCAUGCCAAACUCAACCCAAAAGGUAGAUCAAAACAUCUAGUACUCAAACAUUUGUUUGGGAACCAUUAUAUGCAAGUAUUCUAACUUAGGCGUCACAGAUUGUAAGUAGCUGUAUGAUUGAAAAGUUCACAUCUACUUUUCCUUUUAAUUGAUUGGAUUUUAUGGCUGCUCAGAAAAAUGAAGUUUCUAUAGUCGAGUCUAGAUCAUAUAUGAUUACGCAUUCACAAUAGGUGACACACUUCGUUGUCAUUAUUAAAAUGUAAGGUGCCAUAAUUUAUAUGGGCAUCCUUCUCACCUGUUGCCACAUAGCAAGAAGUCAUUGAACCAACAAUGUUCAUAGUUCCUAGUGCCACCAUUUCUUUGUUUCCAUCCAGCUGAUAGUCUUUCAUCGCGGCGAAUGUUCUUCCAAUUGCUAUGGCUUCCUGAAAAUCCCAUUCCAAGAUAAAGGGAAUACAAAGUCUGUUAGAUGAUUGAUGAUCAAAUUCUCUUAAUAUAAUGUGCAAAUUGACAAUAGCUUGCAAAGUUAUCUCACCGUCAAAGCAACCAUCCCAGCCACAAUACCAAUCCUAACACCUUUUAUCAAAUAGCCACCAUUGAAAAAUAUUUGAUCCACAGAGGAGGGAUUUAUUCCUUGGUCUAUGUGUUUCACCUUCAAAAAUCACAGAAUAAUUAAUAGUGAUACCAUAGCCAUUGCAGCUAUCACUACUUCUGAUGUCCCAACCAUAAUUGUAAUCACAGAAUCAUGCACGUUAUAAUUGAAGGAAAAAACGAGAAUUUCUUACAAUUUGAACUCCUUGCUUAUCCGCACGGGUUAUAUACACAAAAAAUGUUGACAGAAUAACAGAUAUCAACGGACCAAUUGCUGGCACCCAGAAGAAUUUCUUGUUCUUCUUUCCCUAUUGCUCAAAUGAUGGUGAGAAUUAGAAAAGUUUUGCAAUAAGGUAACAGUUUACAUAAGAAUUAGUAUAAUUAGACUUUGAUCAGACUUACAAUGUACUUGGCAACAAGAAGGAAAGAUAAAAAGCUCACUCCAAUAACAAUAGUUUGCCAGUUCCACUGCGAAAUAUUUGUUGUACACAAAUCAGUGACCACAGAUAUGAGAAUUUAUUUAACUAGGGAUUCUCAAUUUAACUAGAUAGUAGUUCACAUUUUAAAGGUAAGAAAAAGGCGACACUACAAGUCAGAGAGCAAGGGGGAGAGAACUUACUCCAUGAUGAGCUGAGGCAAAUACUGAGUGCAUUACAGAAACAAUAUCAGUUUUCUUUGUAAAUUUUUUUAUCCCAAGAAAACCCUUAAGCUGUUGGAGGGCAAUUGUGAUGGCAGCUCCACCCAUGAAACCGACAAUAGCAGCAUGUGACAGAAAGUCAAUUAGAAACCCCAACCUGAUAAAUUGUUCCCAACCAGUAUGAUGUUAACAGAAAGAUAUAGAUAGAGAGACACUAAAAUAAACUGCAAUAUGAAAGAAAGCUGAAAGUUUAAUCUCCUUUGGAAACAUUAACCUGAAAAACCCAAGGGUUACUUGAGUGAUGCCAGCAAAAAAUGUGGCUGUGAAUGCCAGCCUCCGAUAUUCUGCUGCAUUGCCUACAGGAUCAUUAAUUUCAUUCUGAAGCAGAGUCCCCAACAAGAGAGACACCACAGCCACUGGUCCUAUUGCUAUGUCUCUUGAACUACCCAUGAAGGCAUAUAUCAAAGGUGGAACGAAGCUGGAGUCUGAAAAACGUUUUAAAACAAAAACAAAAGAAACACACCAUCAGACUCAAGAAAGAGGAAAAGUAAUGCAAGAUGCACGCAAAUAAGGCGAACUUACACAAUCCAUACUGAGGAUCCAAAUUUGCAAGCUUUGCAUACCCGAUAUCCUGAAUUUUUCCAAAAAUGUAGACUAUUAGAAAUAGUGCAAAGAGGGGACUACACAAUAUUGCUGCUUCUUACCUAUCUUUUAAGCAGAUAAUCUACCUGGGGAAUGCAAAGACUAGCAAUGGUCAGCCCAGCAAUGAGGUCACCUCUAAAUUUUGCAAGAUUGUAACUUCUUCCCCAUUCAAAAAUAGGGAAUAUAGCUUGGAGACCCAAGAUGAACAUUUUAGACCUCGGUUGAUCCUUAAAGGGACGUAGAGGAUCAUCUGCAAAGAAUGUCUCUUUCACAGUGGCUUUGAACUCACUGAAGAGUUUUUGCUUAGGAGGAAGUCCAACCUUGUGAACAUAAGGUGCAUCUUGAGGAUGACGGUGAGAGGAUGACAGGCUUCGAAUAUCCAUAACUUUUUUUUCAAGGUCCUCUUCAGUUGAAUGAACCACUGAAGAUGUAGACAACUAAUUUACCUGUAAUGCAGGACAGUUUACAAGAUGAUCAUUACCAGAAAGAAGGCAAUGAUGAUCAUAUCUGUGCACAAAGAAUAUGAGGCAGAUGCUUGAAAUACUGAAUCAAACCAAGG
Molecule: long non-coding RNA, 4155 nt
Filed under: Populus tremula
Lineage: Eukaryota; Viridiplantae; Streptophyta; Magnoliopsida; Malpighiales; Salicaceae
Description: long non-coding RNA (PTRE_LNC001846)
Source: RNAcentral